UGGACCUUUAACCGCGGAGCUCCGGGCUGAUCCAUAUGUUUCACUGUGCCAGUGUUGGAUGUAACGUUACCUGAGAAAAAAUGAUUCCUGUCACAAUUGAGACCAUUUGACAAAUCAAGGAGGCAAGGGAUGAGCAGCCACCAGGGUCAUUCCUCAGCAAGCUGGGAGAUCAGGUGAAAAGUCUAAAAAUACAGGAGAAGGAAAGAAGAUGUAACAAGGGGGAUGGAGAUAAUGACCAAGACCCUUUUUGGACCCGUUUUCGCACUCAGACCAUCUGAUUGAGUACCUGGAGAGGAGAUUCCUGGAGAUGAACAUUCUAGCUGCAUUCAUUGUAAUCGGCCCAUGAGCUCCAGAG
Long non-coding RNA from Thunnus maccoyii (southern bluefin tuna), 355 nucleotides. RefSeq lists it as uncharacterized. The record is from RefSeq and is a predicted model, not a curated record. NCBI's taxonomy places the organism in Eukaryota, Metazoa, Chordata, Actinopteri, Scombriformes, Scombridae. The transcript has 3 exons.